AGGACGAACGCUGGCGGCGUGCUUAACACAUGCAAGUCGAGCGGAAAGGCCCUUCGGGGUACUCGAGCGGCGAACGGGUGAGUAACACGUGAGUAAUCUGCCCCUAGCUCUGGGAUAGCUCCGGGAAACCGGGAUUAAUACCGGAUACGACCACCUUAGACAUCUUUUGUGGUGGAAAGAAUUUCGGCUAGGGAUGAGCUCGCGGCCUAUCAGCUUGUUGGUGGGGUAACGGCCUACCAAGGCGACGACGGGUAGCCGGCCUGAGAGGGCGACCGGCCACACUGGGACUGAGACACGGCCCAGACUCCUACGGGAGGCAGCAGUGGGGAAUAUUGCGCAAUGGGCGAAAGCCUGACGCAGCGACGCCGCGUGGGGAUGAAGGCCUUCGGGUUGUAAACCCCUUUCAGCAGGGACGAAGCGAAAGUGACGGUACCUGCAGAAGAAGCGCCGGCUAACUACGCGCCAGCAGCCGC
RNAcentral lists this ribosomal RNA (473 nucleotides) under uncultured bacterium. RNAcentral describes it as "SSU rRNA". It matches the Rfam family "Bacterial small subunit ribosomal RNA", at positions 26 to 518 of the family's 1533-position model. The record is from RNAcentral.